This 524-nucleotide ribosomal RNA is filed under the name Denticollis linearis. RNAcentral's name for it is "partial 16S ribosomal RNA". It matches the Rfam family "Bacterial large subunit ribosomal RNA", at positions 1816 to 2610 of the family's 2925-position model. Lineage: Eukaryota; Metazoa; Arthropoda; Insecta; Coleoptera; Elateridae. The record is from RNAcentral.
CAUGUCUUUUUGAAUAUAAUUUAAAGUCUAAUCUGCUCAAUGAGGAUUUAAAUUGCCGCGGUAUUUUGACCGUGCAAAGGUAGCAUAAUAAUUAGUUUCUUUAUUGGAAGCUGGAAUGAAUGAUUGGACGAGAAAAUUACUGUCUCUAUUAAAUUUAUUUUUAAAUUUUACUUUUAAGUUAAAAGGCUUAAAUUUUUUUCAAAGACGAGAAGACCCCAUAGAGUUUUAUAUUAAUUUUAUUAAUAAGUUUUUGGUUAUCUAAUUUUUUUAGUAAUAUUAAUAUUUGGUUGGGGUGACUGAAAGAUUAAUUUAACUCUUUUAAAUUUUAAUCAUUGAUUGGUGAAUAUUAAAUCUAGAUUUUCUAAAUUUAAAAUAAAUUACCUUGGGGAUAACAGCGUAAUUUCUUUUUAGAGUUCUUAUUGAAAAAGAAGUUUGCGACCUCGAUGUUGGAUUAAAAUUAAUUUUUGGUGUAGAAGCUAGAAAAUUAGGUCUGUUCGACCUUUAAAAUUUUACAUGAUCUGAGU